AAUGUUCAGCCUGAGAAAUAGGAGGCUCAGAGGAGACCUUAUUGCUCUCUAAACCCAUGUCCCUCAGAGGAUGGUGACUCCUCAGACUCCUCAGCAGCCUGUGCCAAUGCCAUUGAAGACAGAGUUCAGGGCAUCCAUGCUGGGACAAGCAGAAGAGAACCACGGAGCUGUCGACUCCUCUACCAGCAGAGAACUGCAUUGAGCGUGAUAACAACCUUCUCCCAGAUGGGCGGCUGCCUCACAGGCAGAAUAAUCUCAUGCUCCAAACUGAGCAGGUGGGGUCUGAGCUCUGCCCUCAGAGAGAGAAGUGCAGUGCAGGCAGGCAGGCUGCCUGUGAAGGGCUGGCACUGGUGGCGGCUGGUGGUCCCCGCAGCCCCAAGGACAGAUUGUCAGGGCUCCCAGGAAAGCAGGGGAGCCACGGAGCAGCUCCCACAGAGCUGCACCUGCAUGCAGCCACCUGCAAAUGGGGACUUCAUCGAGCAACACAGGGACAACUUUGGUGGGACAGGAAGACCCAGGAGCUUUCCGCAUUGUCUGAGUGCCCCCACGUUCAUGUGACUGCAGGCUAUCAAGCAAUGCUUGCGACUGAGGAGAUGGUGGCAGCGAGGAGCAGCAGCACCGGAGUCAGAUGCUGAGACACAGACACACAGGCCAUGAUGCUUCAGCUCCAGCAGGAACAGCUGCAGCAAGGCGGACCAGGAGCUGCAGCAGCUGGUUCUAUCGGCGCAGCCUGAGCACAUGGCUACUCCAAGCCCUGGCUUCUGGGAUGCUGCCUGGAGGGACCUGGCAAAGCUGGUGGAGCAGGGUAGCCUGUCCUGCUGCAGCUCCAAUGCCCAGCCAGAAAACCAGCGCGGAGCAUCAGCUCCAGAGUCAGGUGACAACAGACAGACGUAUGGGCCAAAGUGCUGCUGCCCCAGCUGCAACCACUACAGUAAUGCUGACCAGGAUCUGCAGCAGCUGGUGCAGUCAGCACUGUGUGAGCCCAUCGGCAGUCUGGACCCUGACUUCUGGGAUGCUGCCUGGAGGGACCUGGCAGAGCUGGUGGAGAGUGGCAGUCUGUCCUGCUGCAGCUCCGCCAUUACCCACAACAAAGACCAGCAUGGAACAUAAGCUGCGGAGUCAGGUGACUCUUCUGUAGGUCAGCCCCAAUCUGCAUGAUUGCCCUGAUGUGUGCCAGGCCCACGGGAGGAGCCCAGCCCUGGAGCAGGACCUUGCACACUGCAGGUCAGCCAGUUGGGCCAAGAGUGUCCCCAUCCUGCUGUGGCUCAGGCUCCCUCCCUGCUUUGGAGGUGACGACAGACAGAUGUAUGGGCCAAAGUGCUGCUGCCACAGCUGCAACCACUGCUGUAGCAAGGCGGACCAGGAUCUGCAGCAGCUGGUGCAGUCAGCACUGCCUGAGCCCGUCAGCAGACUGGGCCCUGACUUCUGGGAUGCUGCCUGGAGGGAUCUGGCGGAGCUGGUGGAGCAGGGCAGUCUGUCCUGCUGCAGCUCCGCAAAUGCCCAGCCAGAAAACCAGCGCGGAGCAUCAGCUCGUGAGUCAGAUGCUGAGACACAGAGGCAUAGGCCACGGUGCUGCUGCUCCAGCAGGAACAGCUGCAGCAAGGCGGACCAGGAGCUGCAGCAGCUGGUGCAGUCAG
Non-coding RNA from Coturnix japonica (Japanese quail), 1637 nucleotides. The record is from RefSeq and is a predicted model, not a curated record. Lineage: Eukaryota; Metazoa; Chordata; Aves; Galliformes; Phasianidae.